RNAcentral lists this ribosomal RNA (721 nucleotides) under uncultured archaeon. Its description in RNAcentral is "bacterial SSU rRNA". It matches the Rfam family "Archaeal small subunit ribosomal RNA", at positions 129 to 835 of the family's 1478-position model. The record is from RNAcentral.
CCCCCGGGAAACUGGGGAUAAUCCUCGAUAGGUGAAGAACUCUGGAAUGAGUCUUUGCCUAAAAGGCGUUGGAUCAUGCUUUCAGCGUCGCCUAAGGAUGGGGCCGCGACCGAUCAGGUUGUUGGUGAGGUAAUGGCCCACCAAGCCUAUAACCGGUGCGGGCCGUGAGAGCGGGAGCCCGGAGAUGGGCACUGAGACAAGGGCCCAGGUCCUACGGGGCGCAGCAGUCGCGAAAACUUUGCAAUACACGAAAGUGUGACAGGGUCAUCCCGAGUGCCGACCGCUGAGGUUGGCUUUUACCCAGUCUAGAAAGCUGGGGGAAUAAGGAGAGGGCAAGUCUGGUGUCAGCCGCCGCGGUAAUACCAGCUCUCCGAGUGGUGUGGACGUUUAUUGGGCCUAAAGCAUCCGUAGCUGGCUGAACAAGUCCCCUGUUAAACCCACCGAUUUAAUCGUUGGUGUGCGGGGGAUACUGCUCGGCUAGGGGACGAGAGAGGCAGACGGUAUUCCCGGGGUAGGGGUGAAAUCCUAUAAUCCCGAGAAGACCACCAGUGGCGAAGGCUGUCUGCUAGAACGCGCCCGACGGUGAGGGAUGAAAGCUGGGGGAGCGAACCGGAUUAGAUACCCGGGUAGUCCCAGCUGUAAACGAUGCAGACUAGGUGUUUGGACGGCCACGUGCCGUUCUAGUGCCGCAGGGAAGCUGUUAAGUCUGCCGCCUGGGGAG